CUGCUAAGAGGAGGAAGGAAUGGGCAACGGUAGGUCAGCAUGCCCCGAAUUAUCUGGGCUACACGCGGGCUACAAUGGGUGGGACAAUGGGUAUCGACACCGAAAGGUGAAGGCAAUCUCCUAAACCCAUCCGUAGUUCGGAUUGUGGGCUGCAACUCGCCCACAUGAAGCUGGAAUCUGUAGUAAUCGUGUCUCAAAAUGGCACGGUGAAUAUGUCCCUGCUCCUU
Molecule: ribosomal RNA, 227 nt
Filed under: uncultured Methanomicrobiales archaeon
Lineage: Archaea; Methanobacteriati; Methanobacteriota; Methanomicrobia; Methanomicrobiales
Description: partial 16S ribosomal RNA
Rfam family: Archaeal small subunit ribosomal RNA
Source: RNAcentral